CCGUGCUAGGCGGGGAGCUAGCGGUGCCCUGAACCCGCAAUCCGCUAUAGCGGGGCAUCAAUUCCCACCUUCGGGGCCGGUCUGCGGGGUUUAGUGGCCUUGCCGGCGGUGCUGAAGGCCAGGUCCUGCGCAAUGGAACGUCGUGAACCCCGUCAGGUCCGGAAGGAAGCAGCGGUAAGCGAUCUCUUUCAUGUGCCGCGGGGCUGCCUGGCCGGAGCCGUCUGUCUGGCGCACACCCGGAGACCCGUUUCAACGGUGGGUGCACGG
Molecule: signal recognition particle RNA, 267 nt
Filed under: Thermoleophilia bacterium
Lineage: Bacteria; Bacillati; Actinomycetota; Thermoleophilia
Description: signal recognition particle sRNA large type
Rfam family: Bacterial large signal recognition particle RNA
About the family: The signal recognition particle (SRP) is a universally conserved ribonucleoprotein involved in the co-translational targeting of proteins to membranes. Archaeal SRP consists of a 7S RNA and homologues of the eukaryotic SRP19 and SRP54 proteins.
Source: RNAcentral